Molecule: long non-coding RNA, 1493 nt
Organism: Myodes glareolus (Bank vole)
Lineage: Eukaryota; Metazoa; Chordata; Mammalia; Rodentia; Cricetidae
Source: RefSeq, a predicted model, not a curated record
CCACGAGCAGGUCUUUGCCCUCCUGUCCUCACAGUUAGGGUAGAGCAGUAGGAGCACUGAGUGACAACAGCAAAGCCCCUGCGAGUAGCUCCCAGUUAGGCACUUGAUGGAUGCUGGCCAGUAGUGUCUGAAUCGUCUCGAAACCAUUUAUUCAACGCUCAGCGAAGGCUUGCAUUCCCUUAGACGGUGUGCCUGGGAUCAGACGUGGUCUAGCCUUGGAAUGUUCCAGGCUUUGGAAGAGCUAACGUAUCCAUAAUUAAAUGUGAACAAUCCCUUCAUCGAAUCUCAGUACAUAGGCUGUGAGAGGGCCUCCACUUUGACAUGUCACCACCCGAGAUGCAAGAAAGGACCUGUGGCCUCAUAGCUCUUCCUCUGGUUUCGGGAUCUGGGCGUGUGAGAAGAAGACAGACCAUGAGUCCUAACACCGACCCGAGGACUUCCCUAUAUUCUCAGGGGUGGCCUCUUCCCAAGGACAGGGCUGAAGCUAGUAGUCAGCUGUGAGUGACAUCCUGGAAGGGAGAAAUCAGACAGGAGCCAUACAGGCCAGCAGGACUCCUGCCGAUUUGCUCCCAAAUCACAAGGCCACGGAUGUUCUUCUCCCAUUUCACCCUUGAGAAGAUGCCUUCCCUCAACUCCCUCCAAAAGGACUUCCACCAAUCACAAGCAAGGUCGUUUGUAUUCACAACUUAGUAGAUAAUAAAUAAUACUUACCCCAAGGUAUUAGAAAUGCGAACUGACAAUAAAGCUGGUUCCCGUCUUCUCACACCUAAUUCGAGAAAAAGAGCGCUGGAACAUCAGCCUGUCCGAACAUCCCUCACCAAGUGAAAGCCUGAAACAUUUAUCAAAGCGGGUAGUGAGUUUUCUUUAUCCGACAGCCCAGGCAAGUGCUGGCUGUGGCCGUGGUGAUGGUGAAGCUGGCUGAGGCCCAUCGCCAGCAGCAGCCACAUGCAGCUUCCUUGAGCUUUGGAGGACUAUCUUCGAACAAAGUGUAACCUGGCUCAGAAGGUGAAGAACUGGAGACGUAGGUACAAGCCUGCUUUCGACCUGCAGGCGGUGGAGGUAUGACUGGCUACCCCAGAAAAAAAAUGUUCUCGGUUUGACUCCUCUGCAAGCUCAAGAGAGGUAGCCCAGAAGCACAUGCACUUAGAAUUUCACGGUGCCCACAAGUGUGGGGGAAACAGUUUGGAGCAGCUGAACUUGGUAUCAUUUCUGGGAUGCCAGUUCCCAAGAGAGGCUGGUCAGAAACGAACCAGGGUCCCAGAGCCAACCUGAACUGGACUCCGUAGUGGGUCUGGUUACAGCUUUGGCCCACGUGAACUUGGAGGCUUCCGAGGGGCCUAGCUUCCCGGAGCCUGUUUCUUUUUCUGGAAAUAAUUAGAGUCGCAUUUCUCAUCUCGCCGGGUUGCUGGGAGAAUCGAAUGACACAGACUGGACGCAGGCACUUCCUCCACUCCAAGGUGCUCUAAAAAUAAAAGGCAUUAUUUUCUAAUGAG